This 460-nucleotide ribosomal RNA is filed under the name uncultured bacterium. RNAcentral's name for it is "partial 16S ribosomal RNA". It matches the Rfam family "Bacterial small subunit ribosomal RNA", at positions 338 to 795 of the family's 1533-position model. The record is from RNAcentral.
CCUACGGGAGGCAGCAGUGAGGAAUAUUGGUCAAUGGACGAGAGUCUGAACCAGCCAAGUAGCGUGAAGGAUGACGGCCCUAUGGGUUGUAAACUUCUUUUAUAAAGGAAUAAAACGAGGCACGUGUGCCUUUUUGCAUGUACCUUAUGAAUAAGGAUAGGCUAACUCCGUGCCAGCAGCCGCGGUAAUACGGAGGAUCCGAGCGUUAUCCGGAGUUAUUGGGUUUAAAGGGAGCGUAGAUGGGUUUUUAAGUCAGUGGUGAAAGUUUGCGGCUCAACCGUAAAAUUGCAGUUGAUACUGGCAGUCUUGAGUGCAGUUGAGGUAGGCGGAAUUCGUGGUGUAGCGGUGAAAUGCUUAGAUAUCACGCAGAACCCCGAUUGCGAAGGCAGCUUACUAAACUGUAACUGACAUUGAUGCUCGAAAGUGUGGGUAUCAAACAGGAUUAGAUACCCGAGUAGUC